UUUAUGUCAGUUUAUAAUGUAAUUUCAUAUUCAUUAAAGGUGUUAAUCAACAUGGUUAGAUGUUAAGUUAAGGUUAUGACCUAAAUGAUGGGUUAAACCCAUAAAGCUAAUAUUAACACAACUAAUUGUUAUUGCGAUUCUAAUGAUAUGUGUAGGGUAAUUGGAGAACAUUGUUAUACUUGUGUAGCUUACAUACAAGGCAAGUUU
Molecule: long non-coding RNA, 207 nt
Filed under: Panax ginseng (ginseng)
Lineage: Eukaryota; Viridiplantae; Streptophyta; Magnoliopsida; Apiales; Araliaceae
Description: long non-coding RNA (PGIN_LNC012715)
Source: RNAcentral